RNAcentral lists this ribosomal RNA (251 nucleotides) under uncultured prokaryote. RNAcentral's name for it is "partial 16S rRNA". It matches the Rfam family "Bacterial small subunit ribosomal RNA", at positions 525 to 775 of the family's 1533-position model. The record is from RNAcentral.
ACGUAGGUGGCAAGCGUUGUCCGGAUUUACUGGGUGUAAAGGGCGCGUAGGCGGGAGUACAAGUCAGAUGUGAAAUCUGGGGGCUUAACCCUCAAACUGCAUUUGAAACUGUAUUUCUUGAGUAUCGGAGAGGCAGGCGGAAUUCCUAGUGUAGCGGUGAAAUGCGUAGAUAUUAGGAGGAACACCAGUGGCGAAGGCGGCCUGCUGGACGACAACUGACGCUGAUGCGCGAAAGCGUGGGGAGCAAACAG